This 1002-nucleotide long non-coding RNA is filed under the name Nicotiana benthamiana. RNAcentral describes it as "long non-coding RNA (NBEN_LNC034490)". The record is from RNAcentral. Lineage: Eukaryota; Viridiplantae; Streptophyta; Magnoliopsida; Solanales; Solanaceae.
CACAUUCCAGAACCAAAGUCCUAACCUUGCUGUCGAUGGGUGUCUUCAGAGAUAAACCAGGUUCAACUGGAAUGGGAAUGACCGGAUAGUCACAAGCCAGCAUAGUCUUAAUGCCUAAAUGGUCCUUGCUUGAUGCCAUUUCUCAUUUAUUCAGAGGCACAUUUAGCCUGUCCAGAACUGUGGUCAGGAUGAUGCCAUAUGGAGUAGCAUGAGCCUUGGAGCCAUUGAUGACCUUGUCUAGUAAUUUUACAAUAAGGGGCGGCCAGUUGAUUUGCUUUCCUCUCUCAAGGAACUCCAUAAGAACCAGGUCCAUGUAGUUUGCAGUAUGUCUUGUCUCUUGUCUGGACAGUAGGCACUUAUUGAUAAACUCAAACACAACCCUGUGUUCAGGCCUCAUCUCACUUUUCUGCACAGCCCUGGCUUCAUUCACAUCCUCUGAAUCACAGUAUCUCUUGGUGAUAUCAAGAGCAAAGUAAGGGAGUCCAGUCAUGGCCACCUCUGCCUAGUGUAAUCAUCAAACCCUUCAAAGGGUAUAUCCUGAAUUUCUCCCAGUUUCUUAGCAUCAAACUGCACUGGGACUCCCUUCACCAAACUACUGACAACCCCAUCAUUAACAGCGGCAUUUGCCAUAAAAUCAAUUAAUUCAUUUCUGGCUAUUCUCCCAUCUAUCUUAAGGACCAUGUCCUUCUAACCUUGAGCAGCUAAAGAGUCAACCAACCUCAUCAUACCUAGCUCAACCAGGUCCUUCAACAAUCUUCCUUUCAAAAUUUUCCUCCAGCCAAAGAUGGAAAACUUAUCAUGUUCCUUCUUAGAAUCAUCUUCUUCUUCUCCACUCCACUCUUAAUCAUCUAAAACUUUUGCUUUUUUUGCUUUCAGUGCAGACCUUGUCAUCUUGGCUAAUGAGGGUUCAGCAGACACAGGCACAUAAGAGGACUUCUUAGAAGAAGUCUUGAACUUCUUAGAUUUUGGUGUAGGAACCUCCACUAUUGUACCCAUUUCUUG